CUUAACCUAUUUUCAAUAUUGAUUUACCGUGUCUAAAUUGUUGUAACUAAUCUAGGAUGAUCUUUAUUUCCUUUUAUCAUUUGAUUAAUUUGUUUCCACCUUAGUAAUUUCAAACCAAAUAAUUUUCAAAAAUUUGAUUAAUAAGUUUAAUAAUCACUUGUAUUUCUUUAUUAGGUCUUUUAAUUUGGACCAUAUAUCUUCAUAUACAAUCCCAUAAACUUUAUGGUACUAUAUAAUAUAUUAGUAAUUAAUUUUUGAUUUUUAGUUUGUAAAGUUUGUGGGUAGUUAUUUUCUGAAAAAAAUAAAUAAAUCGCAAAAAAACAAAAUAGUCACAUACUGAAAACUGUGACAGCUUGUGAAGUCAAAUAGUCAAAAGUGGGGAGUGACAAAUAACAAGAAAUGAAGCUGCAUCGAAAUAGAAUAUAAGUUUAUUAUGAGAUUAUUGUGUGUGGUC
This 454-nucleotide long non-coding RNA is filed under the name Erythranthe guttata (spotted monkey flower). RNAcentral describes it as "long non-coding RNA (EGUT_LNC000426)". The record is from RNAcentral. Lineage: Eukaryota; Viridiplantae; Streptophyta; Magnoliopsida; Lamiales; Phrymaceae.